UCAUCUUUCUGUCGUGACACAUCGGGUCAGCUCAGGGGGGAGGAGCGAAAAGCAAACGCUUCGCUUGACCCUCAUCGACGUCCUGCAGAACCUCGAG
This 97-nucleotide unclassified non-coding RNA is filed under the name Rhodotorula toruloides. Lineage: Eukaryota; Fungi; Basidiomycota; Microbotryomycetes; Sporidiobolales; Sporidiobolaceae. The record is from RNAcentral.